GACGAACGCUGGCGGCGUGCCUAAUACAUGCAAGUAGAACGCUGAAAGAGGAGCUUGCUUCUCUGGAUGAGUUGCGAACGGGUGAGUAACGCGUAGGUAACCUGCCUGGUAGCGGGGGAUAACUAUUGGAAACGAUAGCUAAUACCGCAUAAGAGUAGAUGUUGCAUGACAUUUACUUAAAAGGUGCAAUUGCAUCACUACCAGAUGGACCUGCGUUGUAUUAGCUAGUUGGUGGGGUAACGGCUCACCAAGGCGACGAUACAUAGCCGACCUGAGAGGGUGAUCGGCCACACUGGGACUGAGACACGGCCCAGACUCCUACGGGAGGCAGCAGUAGGGAAUCUUCGGCAAUGGACGGAAGUCUGACCGAGCAACGCCGCGUGAGUGAAGAAGGUUUUCGGAUCGUAAAGCUCUGUUGUAAGAGAAGAACGAGUGUGAGAGUGGAAAGUUCACACUGUGACGGUAUCUUACCAGAAAGGGACGGCUAACUACGUGCCAGCAGCCGCGGUAAUACGUAGGUCCCGAGCGUUGUCCGGAUUUAUUGGGCGUAAAGCGAGCGCAGGCGGUUAGAUAAGUCUGAAGUUAAAGGCUGUGGCUUAACCAUAGUACGCUUUGGAAACUGUUUAACUUGAGUGCAAGAGGGGAGAGUGGAAUUCCAUGUGUAGCGGUGAAAUGCGUAGAUAUAUGGAGGAACACCGGUGGCGAAAGCGGCUCUCUGGCUUGUAACUGACGCUGAGGCUCGAAAGCGUGGGGAGCAAACAGG
This 763-nucleotide ribosomal RNA is filed under the name uncultured Streptococcus sp. RNAcentral describes it as "bacterial SSU rRNA". It matches the Rfam family "Bacterial small subunit ribosomal RNA", at positions 28 to 776 of the family's 1533-position model. Lineage: Bacteria; Bacillati; Bacillota; Bacilli; Lactobacillales; Streptococcaceae. The record is from RNAcentral.